GCUCCGGUAGCUCAAUUGGAUAGAGCCCUCGUGUGUCGUACGAUGAGAUGGGAGUUCGAAUCUCCCCCGGAGCG
This 74-nucleotide transfer RNA is filed under the name Dehalococcoidia bacterium. Its description in RNAcentral is "tRNA-Asp". It matches the Rfam family "tRNA". From Rfam's summary of the family: Transfer RNA (tRNA) molecules are approximately 80 nucleotides in length. Their secondary structure includes four short double-helical elements and three loops (D, anti-codon, and T loops). Further hydrogen bonds mediate the characteristic L-shaped molecular structure. tRNAs have two regions of fundamental functional importance: the anti-codon, which is responsible for specific mRNA codon recognition, and the 3' end, to which the tRNAs corresponding amino acid is attached (by aminoacyl-tRNA synthetases). tRNAs cope with the degeneracy of the genetic code in two manners: having more than one tRNA (with a specific anti-codon) for a particular amino acid; and 'wobble' base-pairing, i.e. permitting non-standard base-pairing at the 3rd anti-codon position. The record is from RNAcentral. Lineage: Bacteria; Bacillati; Chloroflexota; Dehalococcoidia.